Molecule: ribosomal RNA, 780 nt
Filed under: Triticum aestivum (bread wheat)
Lineage: Eukaryota; Viridiplantae; Streptophyta; Magnoliopsida; Poales; Poaceae
Description: partial small subunit ribosomal RNA
Source: RNAcentral
AUGUUGGCAUGGUCGUCCUCGCCUUUUACGACGACUCCCCGUCGCCUUCCCCUUCCCCGCGCCACCCUCUCGGCCACCGCCGCCGCCGCAGGGUCCAGGCAUGCUCUCCUCUCGCGCGGCCCCUCCUCCUCCCUCUCCUACGCCUCCUGCCGCCUAGCGCCCGCGGGGCCCCUACGCGUCCGGCUGCCGCCCCGCGCGGCGACGCGGGCCCUCUCCGCGACCGCGUCCCUGGCCGCCACAACGACCAUCACGGUCGGCGAGCGGCUCCCCGACGCGACGCUCUCCUACUUUGACUCCCCUGACGGCGAGCUGAAGAUGGUGACGGUCCGCGACCGCACCGCAGGGAAGAAUGUGGUCCUGUUCGCGGUCCAGGGCGCGUUCACGCCCACCUGCGUCCAGAAGCAUCUCCCGGGGUUCUUAGCCAGGGCCGGGGAGCUGCGCGCCAAGGGGGUGGACGCCGUGGCCUGCGUUUCCGUCAACGACGCCUUCUUGAUGCGACGAGGUGCUGCUGCUCUCGGACGGCAACGGGGAGCUGACGCGCGCCAUGGGCAUGGAGCUGGACCUGUCGGACAAGCCGGUGAGGCUCGGCGUCCGGUCGUGCCGCUCGGCCGUGAGGCUAGCAACGGAGGGUACUGUUGGCGUGCUCCAGCGAGCCUAGCUUCGCAGGAUUCCCACUUAACAGGGAGCAGGAGGAGGAAGAAGAAGGUCGCCGGUGCCACGGGCUGCCGCUGCUCACUGGCGUCGACACGUCUGCACGAUGGUGCUGCCCGAUGCACAUAA